Macrosteles quadrilineatus (aster leafhopper) is the source of this 384-nucleotide long non-coding RNA. RefSeq lists it as uncharacterized. NCBI's taxonomy places the organism in Eukaryota, Metazoa, Arthropoda, Insecta, Hemiptera, Cicadellidae. The transcript has 3 exons. The record is from RefSeq and is a predicted model, not a curated record.
CUCUCAAUUUGGACUGCACGAAGAAUGAUACAAUGAAAUUUGUUCAGUUAUUUUUGGGGGAAUCACCAACAAGUGAUUCAAAGCUGAAGCCAAGUGUUUAUUUACGAGAAAUGAUGUUAAGCACUGACCAAAGAAUCGAGCAUCUUAACAAAUUAUCACAGAAGAAACAUGGCAGUUUUCUUUCGAGAGGUAUUGACCUCAAAGAUUUUAAAAUCAAUCCACCUGUUGUUGUUUUUCAAACAUUUCAACCUGGAAAACAGUAUAAUGCAACUGUGACAGUCUGCAAUAUUUCAGAGGUUUCAAAACAGAUAAGGAUAAAAAGCCGGCCAACUCACACAUUUUGUGUCACACACUUGUCCAAAGUAACGUCUAAGCUUGCGCCUG